Molecule: ribosomal RNA, 409 nt
Filed under: uncultured bacterium
Lineage: Bacteria
Description: bacterial SSU rRNA
Rfam family: Bacterial small subunit ribosomal RNA
Source: RNAcentral
AGAGUUUGAUCCUGGCUCAGAGCGAACGCUGGCGGCAGGCCUAAUACAUGCAAGUCGAACGGACCCUUCGGGGUUAGUGGCGGACGGGUGAGUAACACGUGGGAACGUGCCCUUUGGUUCGGAACAACUCAGGGAAACUUGAGCUAAUACCGAAUGUGCCCCCAUCCUUAAACAAGAUGGGUGGGAAAGAUUUAUCGCCAUUGGAGCGGCCCGCGUCUGAUUAGCUAGUUGGUGAGGUAAAGGCUCACCAAGGCGACGAUCAGUAGCUGGUCUGAGAGGAUGAUCAGCCACACUGGGACUGAGACACGGCCCAGACUCCUACGGGAGGCAGCAGUAGGGAAUCUUGCGCAAUGGGCGAAAGCCUGACGCAGCCAUGCCGCGUGAAUGAUGAAGGUCUUAGGAUUGUAAA